This 209-nucleotide long non-coding RNA is filed under the name Elaeis guineensis (African oil palm). Its description in RNAcentral is "long non-coding RNA (EGUI_LNC037549)". Lineage: Eukaryota; Viridiplantae; Streptophyta; Magnoliopsida; Arecales; Arecaceae. The record is from RNAcentral.
GCCAUAACUGAAAGAAAAAUACAAUACCUCUAUAUUUAUGAAUUGAUUAAGCCUAAAGACUUAGACUUUAGUCUAAAAUUUUUUUCACUAUUUUAGUCAAAUUGGUAGCCUCUAUCUCCAAUCUGAAGAAUUACUUUAAUUCUUUAGUGGGUACUAGAAUCCACAUAGACUACGUAUAGGCCCGAUGAUGGCUCGAUCAACCUAUAUGC